UGUCUCCCACACUUUACUUGGGCAGGCAGCCCAGGUAUAUUAACAGCUGCCCAGCCGUCCAGGUACAGUAUAUGAACAGCCACCCAGGUAUAUGAACAGCCACCCAGGUAUAUUAACAGCUGCCCAGCCGUCCAGGUACAGUAUAUGAACAGCCACCCAGGUAUAUUAACAGCUGCCCAGCCGUCCAGGUACAGUUUAUGAACAGCCACCCAGGUAUAUUAACAGCUGCCCAGCCGUCCAGGUACAGUAUAUGAACAGCCACCCAGGUAUAUUAACAGCUGCCCAGCCGUCCAGGUACAGUAUAUGAACAGCCACCCAGGUAUAUUAACAGCAGCCCAGGUAUAUGAACAGCAGCCCAGGUAUAUGAACAGCAGCCCAGGUAUAUUAACAGCAGCCCAGGUAUAUUUGGCGACACAUGCGACGCACCAGCUGCUGUGAAAUUGGAAAAAUCCAAAAGACAAGAAAUUUAUAAAACAUACUGCUGAUAGAGAAAGUCAGCAGAGCAGACACACACAGAGAGACAGAAAGAGGCAAGGCAAGCCGGGGUGUUUGCAGUAAGAGACCAGAGGUGUAGAUAUGUGCGUGGGGAAAAGAGAACUGAAAGGAACAAUGCAGAUUUAAGUAGUGAAUAAAUAAGGUGGAGAAUGAAGUAGAAUUAAAUGGUGAAAUAAGACAUAUACCUGAUUCCCCCUCCCCCACAUUGUGUAGCUGGAUGCUGCCGGCAGGUUUAAUUCAGACACAGAUUAUUGUUUUCCAUAGAAACCCUCCAAAAAAGGGUACUUUUGAGGUUAACAUGAACAACACGUGAAGCGUGUAGUGUGGGCUGUUGACGUGACAUGGCAAUUUCACAGUCACAGAAGAUAAAAGUUAAUAACAAUGAUUUUGUCAUGAUUUAAAGUGCAGUAAAUGGUUAAAACUGUGUUUGUUUUACAAGGACCUGUUGUUGUAAAAACAGCUUUGUUAUUAGAUUUUUUACAUUUGUGAGCCAAAUCUCAAAAUUGUCCUAUGGUGUGACUUGAUGGUGCAUGGUUCAAUAAAUUACAACUUUUAUAAAAUAAAAUGAUUGAUAAAUACCUCAGGCAUAAUGUUACACGUGUCUAUUUUAGUAAAUGGCAAUCAUUUAUUUCAUCCAUAUAUUUCUGAAAGCGUAGGAGCUUGAUACAUUUGGUCACUGAAAACCAUGUCCUCUGGUGUGACACAAUAUCUUAAUUUUAAUCGGGCAAUUCAACAGACAACCUUAUUUAAUUGAAAGACCACAUUAAAGUUAAAGGUACUGAAGCCCCCUGAGAAGCCCUUUUUCCGAACCACUAUAAAAGUGUUAAGGUUUUUUGUCCUUUGGUGUGACAGGGCAAAAUUUUUUUAAAUUCAAAAUUGUUUGUUAAAGUACAUAAUUAUACUACGCUACCACUUUCCUCUGAUAUUGUUUGUAUAGACAUUACAUAUUGAAAGUUAAGUAAAAAUGCUUUAAUGUAAUACCAUUUACUUCCUCUUUAAUCAAAUAACCAUUAUUGUCCUUUAGUGUGAUGUAAUGUUCUAUAGUGUGACACACAUAAAAGAACCAAAUAUGUGUGUUUAUCUCCAAAUAUCUUUAAUGAAAACAGUUCAAUAUUUCAUUAGGGGAGAUAUAGUCAUCACUCAUCAUACAUUUGUAUAACUUUCAACAGUUUUGAAAGGAUGAGAUCAAAGUCUAACUCACUUGUAUUCAAACGGUGCAAGUCCGAGUCCAAUUCAUGGGGAAAAAUAGUAUUAUUCAAAAUUUCUAAUCCAGUAAAUAACAGUAUAUGAAAAAAAAGUCUUCACAAGUCAUCACACCAUAGGACACAUUUACAGUGCAGUUCAAAAGUCUUUACUCAUCUGGUAUGAAAAAAAUCUGCUCAAGAUCCAAGUGCUGUUACCUUACAGAAAGUGUGCUUAAGACUGCAUGUAGAGCAGGUCGACUUGAAUGACUUGAAAGAGAUUUAUUACAUAUACAAGUUCCUUCCUUAUCUAACCUUAUCUAAUUAUAAAAUAAAAAACAUGUAAUAUAAGUAAAUA
Molecule: long non-coding RNA, 2034 nt
Organism: Micropterus salmoides (largemouth bass)
Lineage: Eukaryota; Metazoa; Chordata; Actinopteri; Centrarchiformes; Centrarchidae
Exons: 2
Source: RefSeq, a predicted model, not a curated record